This 203-nucleotide long non-coding RNA is filed under the name Setaria italica (foxtail millet). Its description in RNAcentral is "long non-coding RNA (SITA_LNC005984)". Lineage: Eukaryota; Viridiplantae; Streptophyta; Magnoliopsida; Poales; Poaceae. The record is from RNAcentral.
CCCAAGUUACAGACUGGAGCGCUGCCAGAAUAGGAACAUCCAUGACCAUGGUGAAGAUUGGAACAGGCAUUAACAAGUAGCUCAUUUGAAGCAAGAGAUCUAGCUGAAACUGCUAGUUGAUGUGCUGCCUGAUUCUGAACUCCAGAUAUUUUAGUCACUUGCAAACCAUCAUGUAAGCCAAGCUCCUGAAAGUGAGAGAUCCA